AACGAACGCUGGCGGCAUGCCUAACACAUGCAAGUCGAACGAGACCUUCGGGUCUAGUGGCGCACGGGUGCGUAACGCGUGGGAAUCUGCCCUUGGGUUCGGAAUAACUCGCCGAAAGGCGUGCUAAUACCGGAUGAUGUCGUAAGAUCAAAGAUUUAUCGCCCAGGGAUGAGCCCGCGUAAGAUUGGGUAGUUGGUGAGAUAAAGGCUCACCAAGCCGACGAUCUUUAGCUGGUCUGAGAGGAUGAUUAGCCACACUGGGACUGAGACACGGCCCAG
Molecule: ribosomal RNA, 278 nt
Filed under: uncultured bacterium
Lineage: Bacteria
Description: partial 16S ribosomal RNA
Rfam family: Bacterial small subunit ribosomal RNA
Source: RNAcentral